AGAUUGAACGCUGGCGGCAGGCCUAACACAUGCAAGUCGAGCGGCAGCACGGGUACUUGUACCUGGUGGCGAGCGGCGGACGGGUGAGUAAUGCCUAGGAAUCUGCCUGAUAGUGGGGGAUAACGCUCGGAAACGGACGCUAAUACCGCAUACGUCCUACGGGAGAAAGCAGGGGACCUUCGGGCCUUGCGCUAUCAGAUGAGCCUAGGUCGGAUUAGCUAGUUGGUGGGGUAAUGGCUCACCAAGGCGACGAUCCGUAACUGGUCUGAGAGGAUGAUCAGUCACACUGGAACUGAGACACGGUCCAGACUCCUACGGGAGGCAGCAGUGGGGAAUAUUGGACAAGUGGGCGAAAGCCUGAUCCAGCCAUGCCGCGUGUGUGAAGAAGGUCUUCGGAUUGAAAGC
RNAcentral lists this ribosomal RNA (405 nucleotides) under uncultured soil bacterium. RNAcentral describes it as "bacterial SSU rRNA". It matches the Rfam family "Bacterial small subunit ribosomal RNA", at positions 26 to 431 of the family's 1533-position model. The record is from RNAcentral.